This 372-nucleotide ribosomal RNA is filed under the name uncultured organism. RNAcentral describes it as "partial 16S ribosomal RNA". It matches the Rfam family "Bacterial small subunit ribosomal RNA", at positions 527 to 896 of the family's 1533-position model. The record is from RNAcentral.
GGAGGGCGCAAGCGUUGUUCGGAAUUACUGGGCGUAAAGCGCGUGUAGGCGGACUCGGUAGUCGGGUGUGAAGGCCCUGGGCUCAACCCAGGAAGUGCGCCCGAAACCACGAGUCUUGAGGUCCGGAGGGGAUCGGGGAAUUCCCAGUGUAGAGGUGAAAUUCGUAGAUAUUGGGAGGAACACCGGCGGCGAAGGCGCCGAUCUGGACGGAUCCUGACGCUGAGACGCGAAAGCGUGGGUAGCAAACAGGAUUAGAUACCCUGGUAGUCCACGCUGUAAACGAUGUGCACUAGGUGUCGGGGGUAUUGGCCCCCCCUGGUGCCGACGCUAACGCAUUAAGUGCACCGCCUGGGAAGUACGGCCGCAAGGCUG